AACGAACGCUGGCGACAUGCCUAACACAUGCAAGUCGAACGAGAUCUUCGGGUCUAGUGGCGCACGGGUGCGUAACGCGUGGGAAUCUGCCCUUUGGUUCGGAAUAACGGUUGGAAACGACUGCUGAUACCGGAUGAUGACGAAAGUCCAAAGAUUUAUCGCCAGAGGAUGAGCCCGCGUAGGAUUAGCUAGUUGGUGUGGUAAAGGCGCACCAAGGCGACGAUCCUUAGCUGGUCUGAGAGGAUGAUCAGCCACACUGGGACUGAGACACGCCCCAGACUCCUACGGGGGGCAGCAGUGGGGAAUAUUGGACAAUGGGCGAAAGCCUGAUCCAGCAAUGCCGCGUGAGUGAUGAAGGCCUUAGGGUUGUAAAGCUCUUUUACCCGGGAUGAUAAUGACAGUACCGGGAGAAUAAGCUCCGGCUAACUCCGUGCCAGCCGCCGCCGUAA
RNAcentral lists this ribosomal RNA (449 nucleotides) under uncultured bacterium. RNAcentral describes it as "partial 16S ribosomal RNA". It matches the Rfam family "Bacterial small subunit ribosomal RNA", at positions 29 to 523 of the family's 1533-position model. The record is from RNAcentral.